GAGGAAUCAAAGACAGCUAUGAUUCA
Molecule: unclassified non-coding RNA, 26 nt
Filed under: Mus musculus (house mouse)
Lineage: Eukaryota; Metazoa; Chordata; Mammalia; Rodentia; Muridae
Description: oocyte_clustered_small_RNA6976
Source: RNAcentral